UCCAGACUCCUACGGGAGGCAGCAGUGGGGAAUAUUGCACAAUGGGCGAAAGCCUGAUGCAGCAACGCCGCGUGAAGGAAGAAGGGUUUCGGCUCGUAAACUUCUAUCAACAGGGACGAAAGAAAUGACGGUACCUGAAUAAGAAGCCCCGGCCAACUACGUGCCAGCAGCCGCGGUAAUACGUAGGGGGUAAGCGUUAUCCGGAAUUACUGGGUGUAAAGGGUGAGUAGGCGGCAUGGCAAGCCAGAUGUGAAAGCCUUGGGCUUAACCCGAGGAUUGCAUUUGGAACUAUCAAGCUAGAGUACAGGAGAGGAAAGCGGAAUUCCUAGUGUAGCGGUGAAAUGCGUAGAUAUACGGAGGAACACCAGUGGCGAAGGCGGAUUGCUGGACAGUAACUGACGCUGAGGCGCGAAAGCGUGGGGAGCAAACAGGAUUAGAUACCCUAGUAUU
Molecule: ribosomal RNA, 450 nt
Filed under: uncultured bacterium
Lineage: Bacteria
Description: bacterial SSU rRNA
Rfam family: Bacterial small subunit ribosomal RNA
Source: RNAcentral